This 302-nucleotide ribosomal RNA is filed under the name uncultured bacterium. RNAcentral describes it as "partial 16S ribosomal RNA". It matches the Rfam family "Bacterial small subunit ribosomal RNA", at positions 508 to 809 of the family's 1533-position model. The record is from RNAcentral.
GCAGCAGCCGCGGUAAUACAGAGGGUGCGAGCGUUAAUCGGAUUUACUGGGCGUAAAGCGUGCGUAGGCGGCUUCUUAAGUCGGAUGUGAAAUCCCUGAGCUUAACUUAGGAAUUGCAUUCGAUACUGGGAAGCUAGAGUAUGGGAGAGGAUGGUAGAAUUCCAGGUGUAGCGGUGAAAUGCGUAGAGAUCUGGAGGAAUACCGAUGGCGAAGGCAGCCAUCUGGCCUAAUACUGACGCUGAGGUACGAAAGCAUGGGGAGCAAACAGGAUUAGAUACCCCUGUAGUCCCUGUCUCUUAUAA